UACGGAGGGGGCUAGCGUUGUUCGGAAUUACUGGGCGUAAAGCGCGCGUAGGCGGCUUUGUAAGUUAGAGGUGAAAGCCCGGAGCUCAACUCCGGAACUGCCUUUAAGACUGCAUCGCUAGAACGUCGGAGAGGUAAGUGGAAUUCCGAGUGUAGAGGUGAAAUUCGUAGAUAUUCGGAAGAACACCAGUGGCGAAGGCGACUUACUGGACGACUGUUGACGCUGAGGUGCGAAAGCGUGGGGAGCAAACAGG
This 253-nucleotide ribosomal RNA is filed under the name uncultured bacterium. RNAcentral describes it as "partial 16S ribosomal RNA". It matches the Rfam family "Bacterial small subunit ribosomal RNA", at positions 524 to 776 of the family's 1533-position model. The record is from RNAcentral.